Molecule: ribosomal RNA, 492 nt
Filed under: uncultured bacterium
Lineage: Bacteria
Description: partial 16S ribosomal RNA
Rfam family: Bacterial small subunit ribosomal RNA
Source: RNAcentral
AGUGAACGCUGGCGACAGGCCUAACACAUGCAAGUCGAACGGCAGCACAGUAAGAGCUUGCUCUUACGGGUGGCGAGUGGCGGACGGGUGAGGAAUACAUCGGAAUCUACUUUUUCGUGGGGGAUAACGUAGGGAAACUUACGCUAAUACCGCAUACGACCUACGGGUGAAAGCAGGGGAUCUUCGGACCUUGCGCGAUUGAAUGAGCCGAUGUCGGAUUAGCUAGUUGGCGGGGUAAAGGCCCACCAAGGCGACGAUCCGUAGCUGGUCUGAGAGGAUGAUCAGCCACACUGGAACUGAGACACGGUCCAGACUCCUACGGGAGGCAGCAGUGGGGAAUAUUGGACAAUGGGCGCAAGCCUGAUCCAGCCAUACCGCGUGGGUGAAGAAGGCCUUCGGGUUGUAAAGCCCUUUUGUUGGGAAAGAAAAGCAGCAGGUUAAUACCCCGCUGUUCUGACGGUACCCAAAGAAUAAGCACCGGCUAACUUCGUG